UACGAAGGGGGCUAGCGUUGCUCGGAAUGACUGGGCGUAAAGGGCGCGUAGGCGGUUUGUUCAGUCAGAUGUGAAAUUCCUGGGCUCAACCUGGGGGCUGCAUUUGAUACGUGCGGACUUGAGUGAGGAAGAGGGUCGUGGAAUUCCCAGUGUAGAGGUGAAAUUCGUAGAUAUUGGGAAGAACACCGGUGGCGAAGGCGGCGACCUGGUCCUUGACUGACGCUGAGGCGCGAAAGCGUGGGGAGCAAACAGG
RNAcentral lists this ribosomal RNA (253 nucleotides) under uncultured bacterium. RNAcentral describes it as "partial 16S ribosomal RNA". It matches the Rfam family "Bacterial small subunit ribosomal RNA", at positions 524 to 776 of the family's 1533-position model. The record is from RNAcentral.